GCCCGACUAUUGGGUUUCGUCCUGCAGUUCAAGCGUAAGCCGCCGACACUCGUUCACUCAGCUCUCACGGCUUUGAUCAACCGGUGGCGGCCAGAGACGCACAUCUUUCAUCUUCCAUGUGGGGAGAUGACCGUGACCCUCGAGGAUUGGGCGAUGAUUACGACACUACCGCUCGAGGGUCGUGCUCUAGAAAUCGGACUUCCGACAUACCGUUGUCAUGGCUCCUCGAGCACCGGAGCAAGUGCCCGGAAGACCGAGCCCCGAGUGGUGGAGCAGUACGCCAGGGCCUACCUGUGGUACAUUCUCAUGGAGGUA
This 315-nucleotide ribosomal RNA is filed under the name Triticum aestivum (bread wheat). Its description in RNAcentral is "partial small subunit ribosomal RNA". The record is from RNAcentral. Lineage: Eukaryota; Viridiplantae; Streptophyta; Magnoliopsida; Poales; Poaceae.